RNAcentral lists this ribosomal RNA (253 nucleotides) under uncultured bacterium. RNAcentral's name for it is "partial 16S ribosomal RNA". It matches the Rfam family "Bacterial small subunit ribosomal RNA", at positions 524 to 776 of the family's 1533-position model. The record is from RNAcentral.
UACGUAGGGUGCAAGCGUUGUCCGGAAUUAUUGGGCGUAAAGAGCUCGUAGGCGGUCUGUCACGUCGGACGUGAAAAUCCAGGGCUCAACCCUGGACCUGCGUUCGAUACGGGCAGACUAGAGUUCGGUAGGGGAGACUGGAAUUCCUGGUGUAGCGGUGAAAUGCGCAGAUAUCAGGAGGAACACCGGUGGCGAAGGCGGGUCUCUGGGCCGAAACUGACGCUGAGGUGCGAAAGCGUGGGGAGCAAACAGG